CCUACGGGAGGCAGCAGUGAGGAAUAUUGGUCAAUGGACGAGAGUCUGAACCAGCCAAGUAGCGUGAAGGAUGACUGCCCUAUGGGUUGUAAACUUCUUUUAUAUGGGAAUAAAACGUUCCACGUGUGGGAUUUUGUAUGUACCAUAUGAAUAAGGAUCGGCUAACUCCGUGCCAGCAGCCGCGGUAAUACGGAGGAUCCGAGCGUUAUCCGGAUUUAUUGGGUUUAAAGGGAGCGUAGGUGGAUUGUUAAGUCAGUUGUGAAAGUUUGCGGCUCAACCGUAAAAUUGCAGUUGAAACUGACAGUCUUGAGUACAGUAGAGGUGGGCGGAAUUCGUGGUGUAGCGGUGAAAUGCUUAGAUAUCACGAAGAACUCCGAUUGCGAAGGCAGUUCACUGGACUGCAACUGACACUGAGGCUCGAAAGUGUGGGUAUCAAACAGGAUUAGAUACCCUAGUAGUC
Molecule: ribosomal RNA, 460 nt
Filed under: uncultured bacterium
Lineage: Bacteria
Description: partial 16S ribosomal RNA
Rfam family: Bacterial small subunit ribosomal RNA
Source: RNAcentral